CGUGGCGUACGGCUCAGUAACACGUAGUCAACAUGCCCAAAGGACGUGGAUAACCUCGGGAAACUGAGGAUAAACCGCGAUAGGCCAAGGUUUCUGGAAUGAGCCAUGGCCGAAAUCUAUAUGGCCUUUGGAUUGGACUGCGGCCGAUCAGGCUGUUGGGUGAGGUAUGGGCCCACAAAACCUGUAACCGGUACGGGCUUUGAGAGAAGGAGCCCGGAGAUGGGCACUGAGACAAGGGCCCAGGCCCUAUGGGGCGCAGCAGGCGCGAAACCUCUGCAAUAGGCGAAAGCCUGACAGGGGUUACUCUGAGUGAUGCCCGCUAAAGGUAAUCUCUUUUGGCCACCCUCUAAAAAAUGGUGUUAGGAAUAAAGGGGGUGGGGCAAGUCUGGUGUCAGCCGCCCGCGGUAAUACCAGCACCCCCGAGUGGUUGGGACGAUUAUUGGGCCUAAAGCAUCCGUAGCCGGUUCUGCAAGUCCUCCGUUAAAUCCACCUGCUCAACAGAUGGGCUGCGGAGGAUACUAUAGAGCUAGGAGGCGGGAGAGGCAAACGGUACUCAGUGGGUAGGGGUAAAAUCCAUUGAUCCACUGAAGACCACCAGUGGCGAAGGCGGUUUGCCAGAACGCGCUCGACGGUGAGGGAUGAAAGCUGGGGGAGCAAACCGGAUUAGAUACCCGGGUAGUCCCAGCUGUAAACGAUGCAGACUCGGUGAUGGGUUGGCUUCGGGCCAAUCCAGUGCCGCAGGGA
Molecule: ribosomal RNA, 744 nt
Filed under: uncultured archaeon
Lineage: Archaea
Description: bacterial SSU rRNA
Rfam family: Archaeal small subunit ribosomal RNA
Source: RNAcentral